Passer domesticus (house sparrow) is the source of this 1182-nucleotide long non-coding RNA. RefSeq lists it as uncharacterized. The record is from RefSeq and is a predicted model, not a curated record. NCBI's taxonomy places the organism in Eukaryota, Metazoa, Chordata, Aves, Passeriformes, Passeridae. The transcript has 2 exons.
AGACGGAGCGGAACUUGGGGAAUCACUGGGAAACGAGGCCUUGGGAGGGACCUGAAGGAGCAUCUAGCCCCAGCCUCCCCUGCCAAGGGCAGGAACACGUCCCACUGAACACCCUAUACCCUGUCCUGGCAUUGAGCACUGCCAAGGAUGGGGCGUUCACAACCUCUUUGGGCAAGCUGUUCCUCACCACUGUCACAGGAAAAAAAAUCUUCCUAAUAUCUAACCUAAAUUUACCCUCUUUCAAUUUGUAGCCGUUUCUCUUUGUCCUGUCACUGCAGUUCCUGACCAUGGGUGCCUCUCUGGCUUCCCUGCAGGCCCCCCUCAGCUGCCUUAGUGACAAAUAUCCAGGAGAGAUUCAGCAGGCUUUCAUCAAAGAGUUGAUCUCAUAAGAGUCAAUUCCACUUUUUCACUCGCCACAACUUACAAUGCAGCAGAAACUUCUUGUUCUCCAGUAGAUUGUGUGUAGGUGGAGCUCGCACGUUCAGCUGUGUCAGCAUAGAAAACAGGACAGUAUUUAGACAAGUGGACUGCAAUCUGCUUUCGGAAAAAGCUGCGAAGAUAUUUCCUAAAUUUUUCUCCAGCAAAGGCAUAGAUUACAGGGUUGAUGCAACAAUGGAUCAUUGAGAUUGUUUCCGUCACUUGGAUUGCUUUGUGCAGUUGACCAUUUCCUUCACAAGUAGAGAUGGAAAAUGCACCUUGAAAAUCACGCAAGAGAAUGCAAAUGUUGUAUGGUGCCCAGAAAAAAAAGUAGGUAAUCAUGAUAAUGAAAAUAAGCCUGACUGCUUUAUGUUUCUUCUCGUUCCUACACUGCAGUAAUGUCUUUAUAAUGCGUGUGUAGCUGCAGAUCAUGAUUAACAUUGGAAUAAGAAGUCCCAGGAUGUUCAUUUUUAGGGUGAGGAAUUUCUUCCAUGCAUUUCUCUGCUCAGAUGGAUAAUGAGCAUUGCAAGUAUAGCCUGAACUUUCCUUCUGAGUUUUGUGAAAUACUACCCCAGGGAGGGAAAUAAGAACAGCAACAGCCCAAGUGACAACACUGGCGAGGACACCGUAGGUAACUGUCCUGGCUUUCAAAGCAAACACUGCGUGCACUAUGGCCAGGUACCUGUCCAGGGUCAGCAGGAUAAUGAAGAAGAUGCCACUGUAGAAGCCAAGGAGGUGGACACCUGACAGAAUUCGACACAGUGC